Molecule: long non-coding RNA, 491 nt
Organism: Pan troglodytes (chimpanzee)
Lineage: Eukaryota; Metazoa; Chordata; Mammalia; Primates; Hominidae
Exons: 3
Source: RefSeq, a predicted model, not a curated record
GAAGAUGGACAAGGAACAUAUGCCAGUGCACAUCUAUUAUAAGCCAUUUAUCCCAGACUGUGAUGCGGGUGUGCUUAAGUCUGAAAUGCAAGUGACUCGUCCUUACAGGCAAAAUACAUUCCAGCUGAGGAAAAAAGGAUUUUUGUCGCUGAUUUAAUGGAGUGACAGCCUUUCAGAAGUCUUUAAAUUCACCAUUUUCACUGAUGUCACCCUGUUACCAGAAAGGAGUCCUAAUUCUGACCCCAAGAGAAGGUCCUUAAAUCUCGUGCAAGAAAGAUUUCAGGGUCUCAAUGCGAAAGCUGUCUCCAAAUUGCUGUUUUCUGAAAGCCGCCAGUUAAAGGGCUACAUCUUGCCAAGGUAGACUAAUAGAAGUCAAAUUAAGCUGAACUGAAAUUAUACCUCGUGCACAUCUGGCAACACGUCCUUUUGUACAUAAGAAAGGCAUGAAUAAGAUUAUGUCUUGAAUAAAUUAUCCACUGAUUAUGACAUUU